Sus scrofa (pig) is the source of this 867-nucleotide non-coding RNA. NCBI's taxonomy places the organism in Eukaryota, Metazoa, Chordata, Mammalia, Artiodactyla, Suidae. The record is from the annotation of a RefSeq genome assembly.
AGCUAUGAGGGCAGAGGCAUCCUUUCCAGUUCUUUGAAGAUAGGGACAGAUGAGGAGAAUCACAAAUCAGAAAGCACUCAAGAUCAUCUCAUCAGUUUUUGUAUUUUCACCUCAACAAGGGGCUUGUCCAGCCCAACCUUACUCACACCUCCUAUUUUCAAGAGCUAGGUUCUGCACCUGCUUCCGGCCUACUUGAGAUCUUCCAGAAAGAAGUCGGCAGCGUUUCCACUGCUCGGCCAUGUUCCUGUUGCUCAUCCCAGUACUGGGGCUGCCUUUUUCUCUGAGGGAUGCCAGAGCCCAGUCAGUGACUCAGCCUGAUAAACAUGUUACCGUCUCUGAAGAAGGCUUGCUGGAGCUAAAGUGCAACUAUUCCUAUAGUGGAGCUCCUUAUCUCUUCUGGUAUGUCCAGUACCCCAGCCAAGGCCUCCAGCUGCUCCUGAAGUACUUAUCAGGUCCCCCCCUGGUUGAAGGCAUCAAAGGCUUCAAGGCUGAAUUUAAGAAGGAUGAAACCUCCUUCUACCUGAGGAAAACGUCAGCCCUUUGGAGUGACUCGGCCAAGUACUUCUGUGUUUUGGGUGACACAGUGCCCAAGUCUGCAGGGGGAGCUGAACACAAACUCUGAGAUGCUAGGGAGGAUAAGUGCACCUGGAAGGUUUUAGAUUCUGACAGAGUAGAAAUCUUGGUGUUUUUAUGACCCAAUGUAUGGAAGCUCAAGACCUUGCUGAGCUGGUGUGGGGCAGAGGAAUGUAAAGUGGUUGGAUAUGUGAGUGGGACAUGGACCAAAAGGGUUUUUCUUUUCUUUUUUUUGUCUUUUUGUCUUUUCUAGGGCCACAACCGCAGCAUAUAGAGGUUCCCAGGCUAGGGAUC